This 759-nucleotide ribosomal RNA is filed under the name Dufourea karrooensis. Its description in RNAcentral is "LSU rRNA". It matches the Rfam family "Eukaryotic large subunit ribosomal RNA", at positions 165 to 940 of the family's 3401-position model. Lineage: Eukaryota; Fungi; Ascomycota; Lecanoromycetes; Teloschistales; Teloschistaceae. The record is from RNAcentral.
CGGGCGACGCGCCGGUCUAAGUCCCUUGGAACGGGGCGUCACAGAGGGUGAGAAUCCCGUAUGUGACCGGUGACCGAGCCCGGGUGAAACCCCUUCGACGAGUCGAGUUGUUUGGGAAUGCAGCUCAAAACGGGUGGUAAAUUUCAUCUAAAGCUAAAUACCGGCCAGAGACCGAUAGCGCACAAGUAGAGUGAUCGAAAGAUGAAAAGCACUUUGGAAAGAGAGUCAAAAAGUACGUGAAAUUGUUGAAAGGGAAGCGCUUGCGACCAGACCUGCCCGCGGGCGAUCAGCCGUCCUUCUGGGCGGUGCACUCGCCCGCGAUCAGGCCAGCAUCGGUUCGGGCGGCCGGAUAAAGGCCCUGGGAACGUAGCUCCCUUCGGGGAGUGUUAUAGCCCGGGGCGCAAUGCGGCCCGCCAGGACCGAGGACCGCGCUUCGGCUAGGAUGCUGGCGUAAUGGUCGUAAGCGGCCCGUCUUGAAACACGGACCAAGGAGUCGACCAACUGUGCGAGUGUUUGGGCGUCAAACCCACACGCGCAAUGAAAGUGAACGGAGGUGGGAACCCCUCGCGGGGCGCACCAUCGACCGAUCCAGAUGUCUUCGGAUGGAUUUGAGUACGAGCAUAGCUGGUCGGACCCGAAAGAUGGUGAACUAUGCCUGAAUAGGGUGAAGCCAGAGGAAACUCUGGUGGAGGCUCGCAGCGGUUCUGACGUGCAAAUCGAUCGUCAAAUUUGGGCAUAGGGGCGAAAGACUAAUCGAAC